UACAGAGGUCUCAAGCGUUGUUCGGAUUCAUUGGGCGUAAAGGGUGCGUAGGCGGUGAGGUAAGUUGGAUGUGAAAUCCCGGGGCUCAACCCCGGAACUGCAUUCAAUACUGCUUUGCUAGAGUACUGGAGAGGAGAUUGGAAUUCCCGGUGUAGCGGUGAAAUGCGCAGAUAUCGGGAAGAACACCCGUGGCGAAGGCGGCUCUCUGGGACGGUACUGACGCUGAGACGCGAAAGCGUGGGGAGCGAACAGG
Molecule: ribosomal RNA, 253 nt
Filed under: uncultured bacterium
Lineage: Bacteria
Description: partial 16S ribosomal RNA
Rfam family: Bacterial small subunit ribosomal RNA
Source: RNAcentral